Triticum aestivum (bread wheat) is the source of this 2758-nucleotide long non-coding RNA. RefSeq lists it as uncharacterized. The record is from RefSeq and is a predicted model, not a curated record. NCBI's taxonomy places the organism in Eukaryota, Viridiplantae, Streptophyta, Magnoliopsida, Poales, Poaceae. The transcript is spliced from 9 exons.
ACUGUAGUGAAGUACAUAUGCGUCAGAGGCGGUUCGUGGGCCAGGCUAGCAGCGUGGGCAGAUGGGUUUCUAGGCGGCCGUCGACCGCCGACGAGGUGAGCCGUGGAUCAGGUUCUCGAUUUCCGUCUGCUCCGUGGCUCAGAAAAGUCGCUGCUCCAUGCAUUGAAUGCAAGGUGUGUCUGUUUUGUCCCAACGCGGCCGUCAUUUUGGAGAUUCAGAAGCAAGGAGGGGAGAGAGUGGAAGAACAGGCGACCGACAGGAUGGCUCAUGCAAUCAGGAGAUCCAAUCUGAUUGAGGAGGUUGGGGGAGAUUCUAGUGCUGGAAGGGUCGCCGGCACAUGGCGCCAGGCGGACAGUGGUCAAGGUGACGCUGCAGGAGGCCACGGGUGUGAGCGCCAAAGGGCGGAUCUGCGGCGUGGCUGAAGCGGCGGCAGUGGCAAGGGGCAGCGGCAGUGACAAGGGGCAGCCCGCCUCUGACUUCCGAGCUGUCGACGGGGAAGAUGAAUCCUCAGGCUCCUCGUUAGAACAAGAGGUCAUAUAGAUUGGUUGAAUUUCCGGGUGUCCAUGGUGCGAGACGAAUUGGUGUGCAAAGUGCAAACUUUUGGUUUAAUUUCUGCGGGGAAGACUCCAUGGUGUGACAUGAAUUAGCGUGCAAACUGUCUGUUCUGAAUUGGAAUUAAAUUCAACAUUGCUAUGAAGAUUUACGCUUUUAGGUUGAGGAUUGGAGUCUCUGCCCCAAGCUUGACACCUUGCUCACCCCGCAUAAGCGCUUUUGAGAAGGCAGUUAGGGUCUUCAUAGAAAACCCGACUGAAGAUGAGCCAUGGCUUGUAAUUUGGCAGUGGUAAUCUGGUUCGCGGACCAGGAAAUUCGCUUUCCGUUAGGUGGAUGGCUUGAAUCAUUCGCUGCAGGCCGGUGGCUCCCCGACUGCGGUAUCCAAAUCCAUUUCCAGUCAGCGGGGUGCUGCAGCGCACAUGACUCCAUUCCAGUGAUGGAGUUCCUAAUGCAGCCAAUUAGAAGGUAUCCUAUUGUGGAGGAGGUGAGUGAGAGUGAGCAGGAGAUGGAUCUGCCAGCGAACAGGGCGGUGACGACUUUCCUGAUAGAUGAACCAUCGGCGGCCUAUCCGCGUAGAUGUGUGAGUUACAGAACGUCGUGUUGGGAAGAUGGAAGAGCCCGUCGCAGCAGUCUGAACUAUCAACUGGUAAGAUGAACCUGCAGGCGCUGUGAUGGUCUAAAAGGUGCGCGCGUGUAAGCUUGGAUUGGAUCUGAAUUUAUUGAGAAUGCUUGAAUGAAAUUGUAGUAGAAUGCAUAGAUCUAUCGAUGUAGUGACAUUCAUUCGGUAGCAUGAGAAAUUGUCUACAUGGAACUUUUAGAGCACGUUUGUAUUAAUAAUUGACUACACUGUACUAGUUGAAAUUAGCUCAUGAUUGAGCAAUUCUGUAGAAAAAAAGUACAUGCCGUUCGGACAAUUUGUCGGUUGAAAAACCAUAACCAGAGUGUGAUCUUAGCUGGCGUCCUGGUACACGAUGAGACCGUGUAGAGUUUUGAGUGGUUUUUUUUACUGAAUUCUUGAGGAUUAUGGGACCUGUAGCACCAAGGACAAUCCUAACAGGUAUGUUGAUUAAGGACAUUUCUUAAAAAGAGUACUUGAAGAUGGUGCUGGUAGUAUGAUGAUAUGAUUGUUUCUUGUUUUUGUUCAUGUGCAGACCAGAAUCGAGCUGCGGAGGUCGCAAUUAAGAGUGUGAUGCUUGUUGGUGUGCCGACGGCCGGGGCACAAGAGAACUACUCCCUCCGUUUCUAAAUCCUUGGAAGCCGACGAGGUGCAAAAAUUGUGGUGUGGUGGGGCACCAAAGGAAUAAUUUUACGAAAGCAAUGGACCUGAGGUUAGCUGGUGGCGUGUAGUGGUGAGUGAAAAAUGCCAAACGAUUUCAGUAAGUUUGAAUGGUCAAAGUGUGACUUUGUUUUCUGCAUUCGUGAUGUGUUUGUGCAACUGAGCACCUGCCCUGCGUGCAGGCAUGCUUUAUGUCUCGAGUUGUAAUACAAAUGUAUUCAGUGAUGCAUUAGUGGGUGCUGUGAAGUAUCUAGGGUUGAAAAAAAUAUCCUUUUUUCAGUUGGGUUUAUGGAAGGUGAACUGCUUAAUUAGAUGAAACCAUGCAAGUGGACUGAAUUUCUAUAAUCAGUUGUUGUUUUGUAUGCUUGACGGAAGUCUACAGCCGGGCAGAUGGAUAUAGUCGUCAGUGCGGGCGACGACGGCUCUAUGGUGACCUUGCAUGCAGGUAUCAGCAGAUGAUGCAGAGGGGACAUUGUCGAGCAAGCGUCAAAUGUGGCAAUGCAGAGUGAGGAUGCAAUAAAGUAUUGGACUGACGCUUCAGAAGGCGUGACACGUUCCACUGGACUAGGUGCCGGAAUAUGAUCCAGUCAACCUGGCGGCUGUUGAUGUUGUUAGGGAGGGCUAAGGUGAUUAUGAUCCAGUAAUGAAUCAUGGAGAUGAGUCGAACAAAUUGUUCGGUGUCGACAAUGGAUCCGUCAUCCGUUGCUGGAAAUGGGUGUGUUAUUCCGACGAGGAGUAUGCAGAAGUGAGAAAUUCUGAACCAAAACGACAGCGGCUCGUUUUGGGAAGAACCAGGAUCAGUUUGCUGGCGUUGCGUCGGGUAAUGAUGUCAUUACCCGCCUAGUGCUAGUGUUGUGAUGCAAUCCAUGUACAAGUUUGUUGUGUUGUCAUGGUUAAUUAAGAUUCAUAAUCAUCAUAUCACAUUUGUCU